RNAcentral lists this long non-coding RNA (423 nucleotides) under Gallus gallus (chicken). RNAcentral's name for it is "lncRNA (ENSGALG00010016419.1)". Lineage: Eukaryota; Metazoa; Chordata; Aves; Galliformes; Phasianidae. The record is from RNAcentral.
AAAAAAAAAAAAAAAAAAAAAAAGUAAAUAUUUUAUUCAAAAUUUUAUAAGCUUUGAUAAUCACCACAGUAUUUUAAAGUCCUCCAGUAGUGUAUUAUGUAAGCAACACGACUAACAAAUUUGAGAAAAAGAAGAACAGGUUGUUAUGUAGUAUAUUCUUCAAGAAAAAAAUAUAUUUUAUGUCUAUUGAAAUUCAUUGUUCCUACACAGUACUGUGUAAGAGAAAAUAAUUUAAAAAAUUAUCAGUAUUUCAAGAGAAUUCUGCCCAUUUUCCUCUGGUGUGGAUUUCUGCUUCAGAAAUGGACUUAGAAACAGAGGAGGAGCACCUUUUGGGAAAGACCAUUCAUAACUACAAAGAAAUCAGUGAGUAGCAAGACCCCAACAUCUGACUGGUAAGUCAUAUACUGGACAUAAAAUCUUUCC